CCACCCUUCAUCUUUCACUAGCAUCCUCACGCUCCACCUGAAAAGGAUGAAAAUUAAUGUAGUAAUAUCAGUACGGAACCUAAACACAAUUCAAGGCAUCUUUCUCAUAUACUCAUGCAUUUCUAAACUACAAAGAUGUCAAACAAGAAAAUUACUCUACAGAAUGCAUGUAGAUUUACAAAAAGGUUUUUUUUUCAACACACCUUUGGUAAUAUGAUGGGAAAGAGAGAGCAAAAAUGUUUAAUCGACACCACAGAUCACACAGACCUAGGUAUUCUUCCUCUUUUCAAAGUUACUACUAGAAGUAAGGAAGGAACUUGUUACUAAAUAGGGUAAUAAUGAUAUUGUACAAUUAUUUCACCUAUGUAAUUGACUCUGUUGUGUAGUUGAAACACAGACUCAAUCUAAUGUUGUAUCUCAAUUUCUCAUAAUUCAACAAAACUAAUUGGUGUUUGCUAUUCUUCAAAAGCAAGAAUAUAAACAGCUAAAUUAACAGCUAAAUAUUUGGCAUAAUUAUGUUAUAACUUUCAAACAAAGAACCUAAACCGAGUAACAAUACACUAAAAGCUACUUAAAGAAGUGGCAAAGUUGUCGUUCAUAGAAAUAAAUUCACAGUACAAAAUCCAACAGCAUUUAAAAGAACAGGCCAAUUUUAAUAAAUAUAUUACCUUCAAGUUUACCAUGACAUUCAUCAGAUUCUACUUCUGAUUCCUGUUCAUUUCAAAAACAAAUUAAGAAAUUAAAGAUACGCAAAACAUUAACAAAUUAAAAUAACACAAUUGGCAGAAGAGAGAAAUGGAUUAGAAAAUACAAACCUCUUCAUCAUCAUCGUCAUCGUCAUCAGAGAUAUGACCAUAAAAUAACACGUCCGUAGGGAAUUUGAAUCUACCUCUAGGUGAAGCUCCUGUUCUCAGGCAUUCAUGAAGCUCCCUUUGACAAAACUAAACAAUAUUGAAAAACAAAAAUCAGGAAAAGCCAAGACAACAUAGAAUUUAGCACCCAUAACAUAAGGAUUUAACUAUAUAACCAUUUCUUUCAAAAUUAUUCUUUUUCUCCUCUCUUCUAUUGGAGCUUCCAUCCUUGGAGCUGCUGUUAUUCUCUCCCUGCAAAACAGCAACCACAAUAACCAACAUGAUAAAUCAGGCUACUGCUAUAGAAACUGCUACGAACUUUCACAAAAUACGACAGCUUUAAAUAUAGAUUCAGGAGACGAAAUUGUAUAAUAAUGCAAAUUUAAAAUUGUAUCCAAAAGGCUGUACCAAAAAAGGAAUAAAACAUAGACAAUAUGCAGAAAUUGGAUGAAGGAAUUCCAAAUAUCAUAACCAAUAUUGACUGGGAAAAACAUGCAAGCUUACAUAACAAACAAAAUGUGAGAUUGUAACAGAUUCUACAGCAAAAACAACCACAUAUUCAAAUACUUCGUAAACGUAAGAAUAACAAUGAUCUGAAGAAUACCGAUAAGGACACAACAUUGAAAUAAAAUCCAAUUCAAAUUCUGGACUAGACACGGGAAGUCGGGAACAUAUACAGAAACUAAAUAAGGUCAAGUUGCAGGGGUGGGGGAAUAAGAUAAAUCAGAUACUGCUUAACCAGUUAAAACAAAAUGCAAAGGAAAUUCAAUUUCAAACCUUAUCUUACGUAUCCGCCUUUGGACCAAUUUGGUCAAACGCUUAUUCUUGC
Molecule: long non-coding RNA, 1680 nt
Filed under: Lotus japonicus
Lineage: Eukaryota; Viridiplantae; Streptophyta; Magnoliopsida; Fabales; Fabaceae
Description: long non-coding RNA (LJAP_LNC002204)
Source: RNAcentral